UAAAGCAGCCAAUGAGAGGCGCGGCCGCUCCGCUUUUCGAACUAGAUGACCGAGGGAGCCGAGGAGCUUGGACCGAGGCAGGUGCGACGAACCCUGAGGCGGGUGAGGGGACCUGGCGUCACUCCCUUCCUGAGAGUGACCCCAGCGCCGUUCCCAUUUUCUUAGGGAGACCCUGGCAUCAUCCCCCUUUCCUGAGAGUACCCUAGCGUCAUUCCUGCCGUACUGAGGGGGACUCCAGCAUCCUCUCGCCCUCCUGAAGUGAACCCUAGUAGCGUCUCUUCUUUCUGAGAGCGACGCCAGAGUCGUCCCCACUUCUUUAGGGAACCCUGGGGUCAGGCCCCUUGCUGAUGGGGCCCCAGCAUUAUCCUUCCUGAGGGAGACCGACCCUGGCGUCACCCCCUCUUCUUGAGGGGUCCCCUCCUAUGUCAUCCUUUCCGAAGGGGACCCCCAGGGUCAUACUCCCCCCUUUCCUCAAGGGUCCCUGUAUUGCUUCUCCUUCCUGAGAAGGGGUCUGGCAUUGUCCCCUCCCUUCCUGAGGGUUUGUCGUCAUUGCCAUCCCCACACCCUGAAAGGACCCAUCACCGCCCUUCUCUCUGAGGGUAAUCUCUUCCUCCCUUGCAAUUCGAGAAGGACCCCGGCAAGGGCUUCGGUGGUCCCCGUACAUGAGAAGUCCCAAAGCCCCCUCCUGCGCUUUCCUAUCCCCAGCUGGGGAGAGGGAGAGGCAAGACUCAAAUCACCCUCAAAAUGUUUGGGGGCGGGGGAGUGAAACUAGCUGAUAAAGGAACUCACCAUGUCACAUGAGAAAUUGUUUAAGGAACUGGGGCUGUUUCUCCUAAAACGGGAGCUGGAGGAAGGAUCUAAAGCUGCCUUAAAAUAUUUAUCAAGUGCGUCUCACAGCUCCUGACAUCAUCAGUAGGUACUUAUUCAGCAACUGGAUAUAUUCAGGCUGUUACCUGAAAGAGGGAUUACUCUGUUCCAUGACGUUCCAAGGUAUCUGAUGAUAACAGGUAAAGAAAGGUCAAAAGGGCUUCUUGGGUUGAACUAAAAUCGUAACAGGCUAAGUAGCUCUACUCUUGCACAGAGCUGCCGAAAUCCACACCAUUGGAGAAGCAUCUGCAUGACCUCACCAAUUCCAUUUAAUCUCACAAAUGUUUAUCAUACAUCCAUUGUGACCAAGAAUUCAUCUACUCAACGUUCAAAUAUGGGUGAAGCUCCUAUUGUGUGCCAGUAAAUAAAAUGGUGAACAAGACGAAGAAUCGAAGAAUAAUUAUGAAUACAAGGCAAAAAAUACAUUGUUUAUGAUUUCUGCAAGCUACUUUUUCCUAGAGCACUUCUCAGGGUUUCUGGUUGUACAUUAAUAAAAUACAAAUACAAAACACCGCCCUUGACCAUGGGCUACAGGAGGGCAGAAACCAUGUCUUCUGCUCCCAGUUGUAUCUACACAGGGUCUGGAAUAUGGUAGGCACUGAAAUAUUUGUUGUUCCCGCCUCUUCACUUGGUGAAUCCUCAGAGGAACUGGGAGAUGGUCAGAGAUGGUGAUAUAUGAUCAGUAAGGGAAAGACAUGGGCUAGAAACGAAAGAGAAUCCACCUGCGAUAGCUGAGACUUAAGAAAGAAACACCAACUCCUUGGCCAAUGCUAUUAAUCUUUCCUGUGAGGGCAAGGGAAGGCAAAGAGGUAGCUGACGUCAGCAUCGGGCUGCAGUUUCGAAUUUCCCACAAAUGUUGUCUAAAUCAACUGAAUAAAUCCCAGGGGAUCCUGGGAUGUGUAGUCUGAAAAGUGUUCCUGGGUGUCCGGCUUACAAUUGGUUGUAAUAAAAUCAAAGUUACAACCCUGAGGUGUGGAUUUGGUGCUGGCGCUCACAGGAGGGAGAGUCCUUGUUUAUUUAUAAAAAUAUAAUUUUCCCAGAAGUUUUGAAGAAUGCUGACUUUUUAAAAAAUAGGAACUGGGCUUCCCUGGUGGCGCAGUGGUUGAGAGGCCGCCUGCCGAUGCAGGGGACACAGGUUCGUGCCCCGGUCCGGGAAGAUCCCACGUGCCGCAGAGUGGCUGGGCCCGUGAGCCAUGGCCGCUGAGUCUGCGCGUCCGGAGCCAGUGUUCCGCAACGGGAGAGGCCACAGCAGUGAGAGGCCCGCGUACCGCAAAAAAAAAAAAAAAAAAAGGAACAAGCCAAAAUCAGGGCAUUCUACACUCUGGGGCUUCUCCAAUCUUGCUCCUUUUCUUCCCUGGAAAUAGUUCCGUUUUUUACCCAAAGGCCCACAAGAGGGUGCUGCACUCCUUUUAGGCCACACUUCCUGUAUCAACCCUGAGGGUCUUGGGGAGCUACAAAACCAUCAUAAAAUGAGACAGGUGCUAGAUACUGUUACUAUUCCCCACUUUACAGAGGAGGAAAAUGAGGCCCAGAGAGGAUUUGAACCUAGUAAGUGACAGAUACGGGUCUCAAACCUAGUCUGUUUUCUCUCUUCUUUUUUCUUUUAAUUUUCUUAAAUUCUAUCUUCUGCAAUACUGUAUAUUCCCACUAACAUUUAUAUUUUAAAACCAGGAUCCCUAGUGUUCUCCUUACUUGUUGCAAGUAAUAAAUACUUCCUUCGCCCAAUUAAAAAACAAACAAACGCACCAGAAUACACUCCCAAGGGAGAAGAUAGUCCUUGAAUUGAAGGUAUGUUGUAUUGCACAAAGCAAGAUACUCUAGCACCCAGAACUACAGUGGCCUUCACAGAGCUGAAAGUUAUCUUAGACAUUGUCCAGUUGAUUAAGAGGGGGAAGUUACUUGCUCAUCAUCACUAUAAGUUCAUCCUUUCGCCUUCAUCUUUGUUUUCUUUCUAUACUGGAACUUCCCCUUAGCUUAUAAACACGCUCUGUCUUCUGAAUCUUAAAAGCAAAACCCCAAACCCUCCCUGAACCCUUCGUUCCUCUCUAGCUGUCAUGCGUACUUUGCCUCUUCUCACCCAAAUGUCUCAAAAGAGAUAUUCCUUCUUUCAGCAUCCUUCACUGAUUCAGUGUUAUCUCCUCGGCAACAGUGCCUGUUCUAAGGAGGCAUUCGAUAAACACCUGCAGAAUCUAUUGCUUUACCCUCACAAUUCUACCAAAAUGGUUCUUAGUAAGCUUACCUUCCAAUCGCCAAAUCCAGUGAGCAUUUGAAGGUCUCUUUCUGAACCGCUUUGUAUUUAAUAGUGUGAUUCUUUUAAACCUUUUGUGCUCAAAUUUUUCACCACUUGGCUUCUGUGACACUGUACAUUUCUUAGUUUUUCUCGUAAUUUUCUGCUGCUGUUGUGCUCCUAUCGGGCCUUCCCUUACAUCCCUCUGCUCCUUAAAUGUUGUUUCUCAGAAUUUGCCUUUAACCCGUUAUUCUUGUUCUACGCCAAUGUCUCAAAAUGUGGUCCCUGGACGAGCAGCUUCAGCAUCAACUGGGAACUUGUUAGAAAUGCAGUUUCUUGGCACCCACCUCGUGAAUGAGAGACAUCUAGAAAAUUCAACAUCCAUUUAUGAUUUUUAAAAAGAUGUAGCAAACUAGGUAUAGGAGGGUGCUUCCUGAACUUGAUAAAGUUUCCAGCAAAACUUAAGGCACAGAUUACAGAAAAUGUUUUGGCAAGUAUCAGAAUUAAUGGUGGAACAUUAGAAGCAGUCACCUUAUAGUUAGAAGUAAGACAACUAUGCCCACUAUUACCAUUACUAAUCAAAAUUGUAUAGGAUGUCUUAGCUAAUGCUGUAAGACAAGGAAAAGAAAGGAAUUGUAGAACUAUUGGGAAGAUGACAUUACACUAUCAUUAUUUGUAGAUGGCUAUCUGCUAAAAAAAAAAAGAUACUAGAAAGAAGCUGGCAGAAGACCAAUACAUCUAUAUCAACAACUUCCCCAUAACAGAAAUAUCAAUUUAAAAGGAUCAGUGAGUAAAGAUCUCAUUGACAAGAGCAAGGCCUAUAAAACUCCCAUAAAACCUACUGCAAGCCCUUUGUGGAGAAAUUAUAAAGCUUUCCUGAAGGACAGCAAAGUCUUCACUAAAUAGACGGAUAUACCAAGUUCAUGAACAGAGAGACCUAAUAUAAAAAUUGUUUUCUCCCCAACUGGAUACUUUUUUUUAAUAUAUUAUUAUUUUUAUUGAUAUUAGUAU
This is a long non-coding RNA of Orcinus orca (killer whale), 4105 nucleotides long. RefSeq lists it as uncharacterized. Lineage: Eukaryota; Metazoa; Chordata; Mammalia; Artiodactyla; Delphinidae. The record is from RefSeq and is a predicted model, not a curated record. The transcript has 2 exons.